This 791-nucleotide long non-coding RNA is filed under the name Glycine max (soybean). RNAcentral describes it as "long non-coding RNA (GMAX_LNC003058)". The record is from RNAcentral. Lineage: Eukaryota; Viridiplantae; Streptophyta; Magnoliopsida; Fabales; Fabaceae.
UUUUUGUCAGCACAAACUCAACGACCGCCUUGGAAUGAUGCGUCAUGUAACAACUCCUGAUUUUAAACUUCGGACUGCACUUCCAUCAGCUUCCCAUUGUUCCUCAGUUCUCACCUCCCACAACCUUAAACAGUCACCAUGGCGGCGGUGGCACCAUGCCCCGCCACCCAAACUUGAGAUCUGAAGCAAAAGUCAAGUCUCAUAUCCCAAUCUGAAGUAGAGACGCAAAAAUGCGGACAUUAACAGCGACAGCGGCGUGAAGAUGCGGAUCCGAAGCGGAGAUGCGAACGAAGACGUAGAUCUGAAGCGGAGAUGUGAGUGAAGACACAGAUGACAGAUCCGAAGCAGAGAUGCAAAACUGAAGCGAAAGUUAAUCCCGCCGCUCACACCCUCGUCGUCAACGCAUCUGUUUCCGUUAUUUUGCUUCCUCUUUUCUCUUGUUGCAGGUUGUUGUGGUUAUAUUUGUCUUGGCAAUUUGUUUUUUGAGUUGAAAAGCUAGGAAGAAGCAAUAUUUUGUAAAGAUACAUUUUUCUUUACUGAUUUUGUAAAGAUACAUCGAUGUUAUUUUUUACUUUUUUAAAAAAAUUAUUGAUUUUGUUUCAUUGGAUUUGGUUAUUUCUGUGAUGAAAUUUGAUGUUCCAAAUCCUGAAUAUAUAUAUUUUUUAUUUCUUUCACCAAGAUAUUAUUUGGGUCAAUUGGAGAUGAAUUUUGAAGCAAACAUUGAAAUAGUCAUCACUUGAAAAUGUGAAAAUGUGUGGAUGAAGUCGGAGAAGGUGGUGGCAAGGUAGUGC